Exophiala bonariae is the source of this 72-nucleotide non-coding RNA. NCBI's taxonomy places the organism in Eukaryota, Fungi, Ascomycota, Eurotiomycetes, Chaetothyriales, Herpotrichiellaceae. The record is from the annotation of a RefSeq genome assembly.
GCUCCGCUGGCGCAAUGGUAGCGCGUUAGACUUCUAAUCUAAAGGUUGUGGGUUCGAGUCCCACGCGGAGUG